Molecule: transfer RNA, 79 nt
Filed under: Blumeria hordei DH14
Lineage: Eukaryota; Fungi; Ascomycota; Leotiomycetes; Helotiales; Erysiphaceae
Description: tRNA-Asp for anticodon GUC
Rfam family: tRNA
About the family: Transfer RNA (tRNA) molecules are approximately 80 nucleotides in length.
Source: Rfam by way of RNAcentral
UCUUUGAUGGUCCAACGGUCAAGAUUUCCGCUUGUCAGUCAACACGCGGGAGAUCGGGGUUCGAUUCCCCGUCAGAGAG